CCUACGGGUGGCAGCAGUGGGGAAUAUUGGACAAUGGGGGGAACCCUGAUCCAGCCAUGCCGCGUGUGUGAAGAAGGCCCUCGGGUUGUAAAGCACUUUCAGUGAGGAAGAACGCCUGGUGGUUAAUACCCAUCAGGAAAGACAUCACUCACAGAAGAAGCACCGGCUAACUCCGUGCCAGCAGCCGCGGUAAUACGGAGGGUGCGAGCGUUAAUCGGAAUUACUGGGCGUAAAGCGCGCGUAGGUGGCUUGAUAAGCCGGUUGUGAAAGCCCCGGGCUCAACCUGGGAACGGCAUCCGGAACUGUCAAGCUAGAGUGCAGGAGAGGAAGGUAGAAUUCCCGGUGUAGCGGUGAAAUGCGUAGAGAUCGGGAGGAAUACCAGUGGCGAAGGCGACCUUCUGGACUGACACUGACACUGAGGUGCGAAAGCGUGGGUAGCAAACAGGAUUAGAUACCCGAGUAGUC
RNAcentral lists this ribosomal RNA (465 nucleotides) under Vreelandella stevensii. RNAcentral's name for it is "partial 16S ribosomal RNA". It matches the Rfam family "Bacterial small subunit ribosomal RNA", at positions 338 to 795 of the family's 1533-position model. Lineage: Bacteria; Pseudomonadati; Pseudomonadota; Gammaproteobacteria; Oceanospirillales; Halomonadaceae. The record is from RNAcentral.